Molecule: ribosomal RNA, 497 nt
Filed under: uncultured bacterium
Lineage: Bacteria
Description: partial 16S ribosomal RNA
Rfam family: Bacterial small subunit ribosomal RNA
Source: RNAcentral
GAUGAACGCUGGCGGCGUGCCUAAUACAUGCAAGUCGAGCGAACGGACGAGAAGCUUGCUUCUCUGAUGUUAGCGGCGGACGGGUGAGUAACACGUGGAUAACCUACCUAUAAGACUGGGAUAACUUCGGGAAACCGGAGCUAAUACCGGAUAAUAUUUUGAACCGCAUGGUUCAAAAGUGAAAGACGGUCUUGCUGUCACUUAUAGAUGGAUCCGCGCUGCAUUAGCUAGUUGGUAAGGUAACGGCUUACCAAGGCAACGAUGCAUAGCCGACCUGAGAGGGUGAUCGGCCACACUGGAACUGAGACACGGUCCAGACUCCUACGGGAGGCAGCAGUAGGGAAUCUUCCGCAAUGGGCGAAAGCCUGACGGAGCAACGCCGCGUGAGUGAGGAAGGUCUUCGGAUCUUAAAACUCUGUUAUUAGGGAAGAACAUAUGUGUAAUUAACUGUGCACAUCGUGACGGUACCUAAUCAGAAAGCCACGGCUAACUACGUG